Molecule: ribosomal RNA, 853 nt
Filed under: Acinetobacter ursingii
Lineage: Bacteria; Pseudomonadati; Pseudomonadota; Gammaproteobacteria; Moraxellales; Moraxellaceae
Description: bacterial SSU rRNA
Rfam family: Bacterial small subunit ribosomal RNA
Source: RNAcentral
GGCUGUUACUGGGGGACAACAUUUCAAAAGGGAUGAUAAUACCGCAUACGUCCUACGGGAGAAAGCAGGGGAUCAGUAAUGACCUUGCGCUAAUAGAUGAGCCUAAGUCGGAUUAGCUAGUUGGUGGGGUAAAGGCCUACCAAGGCGACGAUCUGUAGCGGGUCUGAGAGGAUGAUCCGCCACACUGGGACUGAGACACGGCCCACACUCCUACGGGAGGCAGCAGUGGGGAAUAUUGGACAAUGGGGGGAACCCUGAUCCAGCCAUGCCGCGUGUGUGAAGAAGGCCUUAUGGUUGUAAAGCACUUUAAGCGAGGAGGAGGGUACUGGUAUUAAUACUACCAGCUACUGGACGUUACUCGCAGAAUAAGCACCGGCUAACUCUGUGCCAGCAGCCGCGGUAAUACAGAGGGUGCGAGCGUUAAUCGGAUUUACUGGGCGUAAAGCGUGCGUACGCGGCUAAUUGAGUCAGAUGUGAAAUCCCCCGAGCUUAACUUGGGAAUUGCAUUCUAUACUGGUUAGCUAGAGUGUGGGAGAGGAUGGUAGAAUUCCAUGUGUAGCGGUGAAAUGCGUAGAGAUCUGGAGGAAUACCGAUGGCGAAGGCAGCCAUCUGGUCUAACACUGACGCUGAGGUACAAAAGCAUGGGGAGCAAACAAGAUUAUAUACCCUGGUAGUCCAUGCCGUAGACGAUGUGCUACUACCCGUCGGUCUCUUUCAGCGCAUGAGUGNCGCAGCUCACCGCGAUAAGUAGAGCAUCUGGCGCAGUACGGUCCCCAGUACUAAAAAAUCAAAUGAACUUGAUGGAGUGCCCGCACUAGCGGCGGAGGCAUGUGGUUUCAUUCUAUUUAACGCG